UACGUAGGGCGCAAGCGUUGUCCGGAAUUAUUGGGCGUAAAGAGCUCGUAGGCGGCUUGUCACGUCGGGUGUGAAAGCCCGGGGCUUAACCCCGGGUCGGCAUUCGAUACGGGCUAGCUAGAGUGUGGUAGGGGAGAUCGGAAUUCCUGGUGUAGCGGUGAAAUGCGCAGAUAUCAGGAGGAACACCGGUGGCGAAGGCGGAUCUCUGGGCCAUUACUGACGCUGAGGAGCGAAAGCGUGGGGAGCAAACAGG
RNAcentral lists this ribosomal RNA (253 nucleotides) under uncultured bacterium. RNAcentral's name for it is "partial 16S ribosomal RNA". It matches the Rfam family "Bacterial small subunit ribosomal RNA", at positions 524 to 776 of the family's 1533-position model. The record is from RNAcentral.